GGAUCCGCGUGGGGGGAGGAAAGCCUUUGGGUUGUAAACCCCUUUUCUCAGGGAAGAAGAAAGUGACGGUACCUGAGGAAUCAGCCUCGGCUAACUCCGUGCCAGCAGCCGCGGUAAUACGGAGGAGGCAAGCGUUAUCCGGAUUUAUUGGGCGUAAAGCGUUCGUAGGUGGCAAUUCAAGUCUGCUGUCAAAGACAGUAGCUCAACUACUGCAAGGCAGUGGAAACUGAAUAGCUAGAGUGCGGUAGGGGCAGAGGGAAUUCCCGGUGUAGCGGUGAAAUGCGUAGAGAUCGGGAAGAACACCGGUGGCGAAAGCGCUCUGCUGGGCCGCAACUGACACUGAGGGACGAAAGCUAGGGGAGCGAAUGGGAUUAGAUACCCCAGUAGUC
Molecule: ribosomal RNA, 389 nt
Filed under: uncultured cyanobacterium
Lineage: Bacteria; Bacillati; Cyanobacteriota
Description: bacterial SSU rRNA
Rfam family: Bacterial small subunit ribosomal RNA
Source: RNAcentral